CGCGGGGUAGAGAAAUGGCAUCUCGCAAGGCUCAUAACCUUGAGAUUGUGGGUUCGAAUCCCACCCCCGCAACCA
This 75-nucleotide transfer RNA is filed under the name Candidatus Doudnaibacteriota bacterium. RNAcentral's name for it is "Candidatus Doudnabacteria bacterium tRNA-Met". It matches the Rfam family "tRNA". From Rfam's summary of the family: Transfer RNA (tRNA) molecules are approximately 80 nucleotides in length. Their secondary structure includes four short double-helical elements and three loops (D, anti-codon, and T loops). Lineage: Bacteria; Candidatus Doudnaibacteriota. The record is from RNAcentral.